Molecule: microRNA, 20 nt
Filed under: Ornithorhynchus anatinus (platypus)
Lineage: Eukaryota; Metazoa; Chordata; Mammalia; Monotremata; Ornithorhynchidae
Description: oan-miR-1422f-3p
Source: miRBase by way of RNAcentral
AAAAAAUGGUCAUGACUGAU